This 446-nucleotide ribosomal RNA is filed under the name uncultured bacterium. Its description in RNAcentral is "bacterial SSU rRNA". It matches the Rfam family "Bacterial small subunit ribosomal RNA", at positions 354 to 796 of the family's 1533-position model. The record is from RNAcentral.
GUAAGGAAUAUUGGGCAAUGGACGCAAGUCUGACCCAGCCAUGCCGCGUGAAGGAUGAAGGCCCUAUGGGUUGUAAACUUCUUUUAUACGGGAAAAAACCACCGGUCGUGUAUCGGUGCUGAUGGUACCGUAAGAAUAAGCAUCGGCUAACUCCGUGCCAGCAGCCGCGGUAAUACGGAGGAUGCAAGCGUUAUCCGGAUUCAUUGGGUUUAAAGGGUGCGCAGGCGGAUUAAUAAGUCAGUGGUGAAAUCCUACGGCUCAACUGUAGAACUGCCAUUGAUACUGUUAGUCUUGAGUAUUGUUGAGGUAGGCGGAAUGUGUCAUGUAGCGGUGAAAUGCUUAGAUAUGACACAGAACACCAAUCGCGAAGGCAGCUUACCAAGCAAUAACUGACGCUCAUGCACGAAAGCGUGGGGAUCAAACAGGAUUAGAUACCCCAGUAGUCC